Molecule: microRNA, 22 nt
Filed under: Monodelphis domestica (gray short-tailed opossum)
Lineage: Eukaryota; Metazoa; Chordata; Mammalia; Didelphimorphia; Didelphidae
Description: mdo-miR-7371c-3p
Source: miRBase by way of RNAcentral
UAGAGCAUUCUUGUAUAAAGGA